UGACGUAUGCUAUACUCCAUGUUUCUAAUAAUAAUAAUAAUAAUACAAAGUAGGCUCUGACGUGUCAGAUCUUUGGUCGUCCUUGGGUUGGUAGCGUCGCUGAAAUGGGCCCAUAUGCGCCGUCUGAUUCAUAGAUUGGGUGGAUACAUACAGAUAUGUUUAUGCUUAUGCAACUGACCAUAGUAGUUGUACUAAUAAUGUACGUACUUUCAAUCUGAACACAACAAAGUUGAAUUUUCAAUGCACAACUAAGUUCAGUUAAAAAGUAUAUAAACUUUUAAGCAGUACAAAGUUGCCAUAUUUUAUAUACUCAAGGCUCUGAACAGAUUACACUCUUCACGCGAAAUUGAUCAAAUGUUUUCGGUGUUUUGUUCGCUUGAGAGGAUAAGAAGAUCACCGAAGACGAAUUUGUGAGAUUUUUCGAAUUUUGGUCACCCGUAUGAGAAGAGAUUUGUGCGGAUUGUAAUUAAAAAAUCAUGGUUGUAGAUGGAGACAAAGAAGGAGCUUCUGCACGUUGAUGGGAUGAAGAAGCAAAGGAUUGAAGAUGAAUGCGCGUGUUUCAGAGCCAAAGAAAACGAUGAACAAUGUUGGAAGGUAGGAAGAGGGUGGCGUAUUCGAUUCUAGGAGAGAGAUAUUCGGUUCCACUCCUACUUACAUAUUUCAAAAAUGGUGUAUUCGGUUACCUCAAAGGGAUAUCCGGUUCCAGGCGUGGGAAAAGUGGUGGGGAGAAGGUGAAGGAGAGGCCUUGGGAUAGUUGGACUCCGCAGACAAAGAGGUAGCGGUAGAGGACAGACAUGAGACCGGUGGCUCCGAGGACGAGAAGGACGAUGACGACGGAGAGACCGGCAGCAAAGAUAUGGGCGAUGGUGAGCAGGGGUGAGGCGGAGAUGGCAACGACGACAAUGGACUUCAUGGGCUGGACCAGCAUGGGGAGGCCGAAGAGCAAGCCGGUGGCGAUGUUGUAGAGCGAAGUGAAGAUCAGUGUGGUAGUGAGAUUCAAGUUGUUGACAAGAGACAGAGCGAGCAUGAUGGGUAUGUACGUCCCUAGGUCACCCACCGCGCCAGAGAGCUCUGAGAAAAGGGUUGUCUUCAGUUUGAUGAAGAAGGGGAGCCACCGAUUGUGGCGGAGGAGAGGGGUGGUAGUGAAAGAAGGGUGGGGUUGGGUGAGAUAAUUGGUAGAAGAGGAUGCGUUGAAUAGGAGGUGAUCUUAACCUUCUUUGAUGAAGUAUCCUCACACUUCACAGGUGUGCAUAAAUCUUUUGUACGUGUCAAUCCUACAACCAAUUUUUCAAAACCUAAUGUACGUGUACA
This 1311-nucleotide small RNA is filed under the name Vigna angularis var. angularis. Its description in RNAcentral is "Non-protein coding transcript". The record is from RNAcentral. Lineage: Eukaryota; Viridiplantae; Streptophyta; Magnoliopsida; Fabales; Fabaceae.